RNAcentral lists this ribosomal RNA (468 nucleotides) under uncultured bacterium. Its description in RNAcentral is "partial 16S ribosomal RNA". It matches the Rfam family "Bacterial small subunit ribosomal RNA", at positions 28 to 507 of the family's 1533-position model. The record is from RNAcentral.
GACGAACGCUGGCGGCGGGCUUAACACAUGCAAGUCGAACGGAAAGGCCCUGCUUUUGUGGGGUGCUCGAGUGGCGAAAGGGUGAGUAACAAGUGAGUAACCUGCCCUUGACUUUGGGAUAACUUCAGGAAACUGGGGCUAAUACCGGAUAGGAGCUCCUGCUGCAUGGGGGGGGUUGGAAAGUUUCGGCGGUUGGGGAUGGACUCGCGGCUUAUCAGCUUGUUGGUGGGGUAGUGGCUUACCAAGGCUUUGACGGGUAGCCGGCCUGAGAGGGUGACCGGCCACAUUGGGACUGAGAUACGGCCCAGACUCCUACGGGAGGCAGCAGUGGGGAAUAUUGCACAAUGGGCGGAAGCCUGAUGCAGCAACGCCGCGUGCGGGAUGACGGCCUUCGGGUUGUAAACCGCUUUCGCCUGUGACGAAGCGUGAGUGACGGUAAUGGGUAAAGAAGCACCGGCUAACUACGUG